GCGGGUGAGGGUUUUGCCCUUAAAUUUGCAAGGUGAGGAAAGUCCGUGCAUCCAAGAACAGGCAUCCGGAGAAACUCCGGGCGGUGUGAGCCGGCGGAUAGUGCCACAGAAAUGCGUUAGCCGAUGUGAAGCAACAGGUAGACCUGCGAUGAGCGGGGCAAGCAGCUGCGUAACAUAAUAUAGUGCCGUUGCGACCGAAACGUAAGUGAAGGGAGCGGACAAAUCUAUGAUUUGACAGACACUUUUAAGCAAAGCUAACAAGACUGCCGAUGGAUUAUAUGUCACAGGCGAUGGUGCAACGGUGAGUUAAGAGCUUCACCAGCGAAGUCGGAAGGCUUCGGCUAGGUAAACCCAUGUCGGAUGCAAGGUUGAGUUCGGGGUUAUAAAGGUUGUUCGCCCACUCGAGAAAGAACCGCUAGAGCCUGAGAGCAAUCUCAGGACCAGACAGAUGAUUAUCUAAAACAGAACACGGCUUACGGGCUGCUUUA
This 488-nucleotide RNase P RNA is filed under the name bovine gut metagenome. RNAcentral's name for it is "Bacterial RNase P class A". It matches the Rfam family "Bacterial RNase P class A". From Rfam's summary of the family: Ribonuclease P (RNase P) is a ubiquitous endoribonuclease, found in archaea, bacteria and eukarya as well as chloroplasts and mitochondria. The record is from RNAcentral.